GUUGAAAAUCAAAGUCUUCACAAAGACUAAGAAUAGUGUAUGAAUAGAAGACUUUGAGUGUGGCCAAAUUAAUGGAGAGAGGGAAAGAAAGUCAAGAGGUUCACACACAUUGCAUCCUCUAUAAAUAUGAGGUGUUCCUCAUCAGAUGUAAGCAAUGAAGAUAGAAGUGAAUGAAAAUGAAAAGCUCCCUCUUUCUCCAUCCCUCUGUGCAUUUGUUCUUGUGUUUGUGAGUGUGUUUGUGAGGAAUCCGAGUACUCGAUUUCUAACAGGUGGAUGCCUCCC
This 282-nucleotide long non-coding RNA is filed under the name Sorghum bicolor (sorghum). RNAcentral's name for it is "long non-coding RNA (SBIC_LNC002258)". The record is from RNAcentral. Lineage: Eukaryota; Viridiplantae; Streptophyta; Magnoliopsida; Poales; Poaceae.